CAGCCGCCGCGGUAAUACGUAGGGGGCGAGCGUUACCCGGAUUCACUGGGCGUAAAGGGGGUGUAGGCGGCUCGGUAAGUCGGGUGUGAAAUCCCACGGCUCAACCGUGGAAUUGCGCCCGAAACUGCCGAGCUUGGGGCCGGUAGAGGGAGACGGAACUGCCGGUGUAGGGGUGAAAUCCGUAGAUAUCGGCAGGAACGCCGGUGGGGAAGCCGGUCUCCUGGGCCGCGCCCGACGUUGAGGCCCGAAAGCUAGGGGAGCAAACCGGAUUAGAUACCCGGGUAGUCCUAGCCGUAAACGAUGCCCACUAGGUGUGGGGGAGUAUUUCCUCCGUGCUGUAGCUAACGCGUUAAGUGGGCCGCCUGGGGAGUACGCCCGCAAGGGUGAAACUUAAAGGAAUUGGCGGG
RNAcentral lists this ribosomal RNA (407 nucleotides) under uncultured microorganism. Its description in RNAcentral is "bacterial SSU rRNA". It matches the Rfam family "Bacterial small subunit ribosomal RNA", at positions 509 to 917 of the family's 1533-position model. The record is from RNAcentral.